CCCUUAGAUGUCCUGGGCCGCACGCGCGUUACACUGAUGCAUUCAACGAGCUUAUAACCUUGGCCGAGAAGCCUGGGCAAUCUUGUUAGCGUGCAUCGUGAUAGGGAUAGAUUAUUGAAAUUAUUAAUCUUGAACGAGGAAUUCCUAGUAAACGCAGAUCAUCAAUCUGCAUUGAUUACGUCCCUGCCCUUUGUACACACCGCCCGUCGCACCUACCGAUUGGAUGGUCCGGUGAAGCCUCGGGAUUGUGGUUCUUGCCGCUUUAUUGUGGCGUGACCGCGAGAACUUGUCUAAACCUUAUCAUCUAGAGGAAGGUGAAGUCGUAACA
This 328-nucleotide ribosomal RNA is filed under the name uncultured eukaryote. RNAcentral describes it as "partial 18S ribosomal RNA". It matches the Rfam family "Eukaryotic small subunit ribosomal RNA", at positions 1470 to 1796 of the family's 1831-position model. The record is from RNAcentral.